AGAGUUUGAUCCUGGCUCAGGACGAACGCUUGCGGCGUGCCUAAGAAAUGCAAGUCGAACGGUAGCAAUACAGUGGCGAACGGUCGCGUAACACGUAAGCAACCUGCCUCAAAGUGGGGGAUAACGUUCCGAAAGGGACGCUAAUACCGCAUGUGGUUCACGGGCGGCAUCACCUGUGAUCUAAAGAUUUAUCGCUUUGAGAUGGGCUUGCGGCCUAUCAGGUAGUUGGUGGGGUAAUGGCCUACCAAGCCGACGACGGGUAGCUGGUCUGAGAGGACGAUCAGCCGGAUUGGGACUGAGAUACGGCCCAGACUCCUACGGGGGGCAGCAAUUAGGAAUCUUGCGCAAUGGGGGAAACCCUGACGCAGCGACGCCGCGUGAAGGAUGAAGGAUUUCGGUCUGUAAACUUCUUUUGUCAAGGAAGAAGAAUGUGACGGUACUUGGCGAAUAAGCCCCGGCUAACUACGUGCCAGCAGCCGCGGUAAUUC
RNAcentral lists this ribosomal RNA (488 nucleotides) under uncultured bacterium. Its description in RNAcentral is "bacterial SSU rRNA". It matches the Rfam family "Bacterial small subunit ribosomal RNA", at positions 8 to 526 of the family's 1533-position model. The record is from RNAcentral.